GUACCAUGAUGUGGACACAUCCUCAAUAACUCUUUGAACCUCUCCCAAGCAUCACACGCCGACUCAUCCUCCAACUGUCGAAAACAAAUAAUCUCAUUCCAAAACUU
This is a small nucleolar RNA of Humulus lupulus (European hop), 107 nucleotides long. Lineage: Eukaryota; Viridiplantae; Streptophyta; Magnoliopsida; Rosales; Cannabaceae. The record is from RefSeq and is a predicted model, not a curated record.